CAUAUUUUAAAAUUUUUUACUGCAUAUAAAUCCUAGCCCUAGAUAUAAGUAAUAAUGUUCUACUGAGGGUCGCAUAAUAAUUAUUUCCUUUCUUAGGGCGCAAAUAAAAUGUUUAAAAAAAUGCACUUUAUUUAAUGAAUAAUUAUUUUUAAUAUACUUAUAGCUUCAAACUGUAGGCACUGAGAUAGUAUUAUUAAAUUAUUUCCAAACGUACCGAUAAUGGCGAAUACCGCAAAAACUAAAACUGGUCAGUGCGUAACACUGACCGUGGUCCUUGUGUUGUACCUGCAGGAAACAAACGACUUCGAAACCCCUAUAAUAAUUUCAAUAUAUGGUAUCUAAAUAAAAAUGGAUACCUAUAUAUCGAUCAGUUGAUUCACCGUACACAUUUGCACACGAUUCGUAUCAUCCGCCACAGGUUGUCAACAACCCCAAAAAUAUUUAACUCGAGGGACCGAAAAUCACCCAUUCUGAUGACUUGUUUUUGUGUUUUAUUUGGAAUAAGGCAUACAACAUUAUUUUACUAUAGUUAUGAUAAUUAAUUACUUUAUUUAUUUAAACGAUUCUCACAUUAAAUUGGAUACUAUUGGG
Molecule: non-coding RNA, 591 nt
Organism: Cinara cedri
Lineage: Eukaryota; Metazoa; Arthropoda; Insecta; Hemiptera; Aphididae
Source: the annotation of a GenBank genome assembly